GAUAAACGUUUGCGGCGUGCCUGAUGCAUGCAAGUCGAACGCCCUGAUUUUUCGCAAGAAGUAUCAGGGAGUGGCGAACGGCUGAGUAACGCGUAAGUAACCUACCCUUAAGUGGGGGAUAACCUGCCGAAAGGCAGGCUAAUACCGCAUGUGCUGGUAAGCGUUAGUUUAUCAGUAAAGAUUUUUCGCUUGAGGAGGGGCUUGCGUCUGAUUAGCUAGUUGGUAGGGUAAUGGCCUACCAAGGCGAUGAUCAGUAGCUGGUCUGAGAGGACAACCAGCCAGACGGGGACUGAGAUACGGCCCUGACUCCUACGGGAGGCAG
This 322-nucleotide ribosomal RNA is filed under the name uncultured Chloroflexota bacterium. RNAcentral's name for it is "bacterial SSU rRNA". It matches the Rfam family "Bacterial small subunit ribosomal RNA", at positions 28 to 351 of the family's 1533-position model. The record is from RNAcentral. Lineage: Bacteria; Bacillati; Chloroflexota.